This is a long non-coding RNA of Nicotiana attenuata, 1397 nucleotides long. RefSeq lists it as uncharacterized. The transcript has 2 exons. The record is from RefSeq and is a predicted model, not a curated record. Lineage: Eukaryota; Viridiplantae; Streptophyta; Magnoliopsida; Solanales; Solanaceae.
CGGUAACACUAUCUCCCCUCUUUAGGCGAGUGGAGUUCAAGCUCCAACGAAUGGGGACGUCGACCUACCAUCUACCGGUGCGUCCAAGUGAAAACCUUGCUCCUUCGGCUAUUACCAUCAGCCCAGAAGAAGUAAUUCCUUUGAAAAAUGGCUAUGCCUCUGCAGUAGCUUCUCCUGCAAAACCCAAAGGAAAUAUAUUUGGGGACCCAAAUGUGAAAGCUAGAGUUACCACCCCACAAUGGAAUGCCUGUGGUCAUCUUAAAGACAAGCGACUACUAUAGGGUGAUGGCAGAGGAGUGCCAAUACACAAGUACAGAUGCUGUAAUAAUCCGAGAGAAGACACAAUCCAACGUGUCUUCGUUGAGGUUGAUGCCGCUCAAUAUCUCUGAAAUAUCUUCGGUGCACCUUUGGGAAUCAAGCAUGAAAGCUGGAAUAUUAGAAGCAUCAUCAAAAAGUGGUGGGAAGUACAGGCAAAGAACUAUAUACACAAAUUUAUACUCUAUUUUGUAUUGUUAGCAAUAUGCUUGGAAAUAUGGAGAAGUUGGUGUUCGAGCAGAUAUGGAGAACAAAAAAGAUUCUUGGUGAGGAAAAUGGAGCAACAAAUAAGCUAGACCAUACAGGCAGCCUUGAAUAUGGCCUUCGCCUUCCCCAGUUGCAAUAGAGCAGGGACUUGGCCUAUUUUUUGCGAAAAAGUAGAGCUAUGGAGACCAACUCCCAUAGUGAAACAAGUUAUUUGGCAGAAGCCUCCCACUGGAAAAAUUAAAGUCAACACUGAUGGAAGCUUUGUAAAAGGAACCGAAAGAGACGGUAUAGGAGGUUCCGUAAGGAACGACCAAGAAAAUUGGAUUAUGGCAUUUUCUUUACCAGUUCAGAGCAAACAAUAUCACUGAAGCCAUGGCUGCGAAGAUGGGUAUACAGUGGUGCAUACAGCGAGGGUAUAAUGACAUCUAUCUGGAGACCGACUCACGAAUAGUUGUCAAUAUGCUCUUAGAUAGAAGCAUCAACAAUCUCAACAUGAAGAGACUCAAUAAAGAGAAUGCAGAUAUGAUGAGCCAAACAGAAGUAAAUAUUUCGCACUGUUAUAGAGAAGCUAAUCAAGUGGCUGAUAUGUUGGCCAAAAAUAUUACGACUGGUGGAAUCACUGCCUUCUUCUACUCUUUCCAAUAAUUACUGCCUUCUUCUAGUCUUUCCAAUAAUUACCAGGAAAUGUAAAAUGACCUUUUGAACUUGAUAAGUGGCAACUUCCUAGUUUUAGAACUAGGUAUGACAAAGCUAAUGUUUUUGUAAGUUGAACCAUAUACUGUAGAACAUGAGAGGUAUACGUACAGUAGUUAACCUCUCAUGUAUUUGAAGAUUGACUUAGGUUAAUCUUGUAUUACAUCUGGAGAUUAGGUCCA